Molecule: ribosomal RNA, 301 nt
Filed under: uncultured bacterium
Lineage: Bacteria
Description: partial 16S ribosomal RNA
Rfam family: Bacterial small subunit ribosomal RNA
Source: RNAcentral
CAGCCGCCACGGUAAAACAGAGGGUGCGAGCGUUAAUCGGAUUUACUGGGCGUAAAGCGUGCGUAGGCGGCUUCUUAAGUCGGAUGUGAAAUCCCUGAGCUUAACUUAGGAAUUGCAUUCGAUACUGGGAAGCUAGAGUAUGGGAGAGGAUGGUAGAAUUCCAGGUGUAGCGGUGAAAUGCGUAGAGAUCUGGAGGAAUACCGAUGGCGAAGGCAGCCAUCUGGCCUAAUACUGACGCUGAGGUACGAAAGCAUGGGGAGCAAACAGGAUUAGAUACCCCCGUAGUCCCUGUCUCUUAUAC